GCACCGGCUAACUACGUGCCAGCAGCCGCGGUAAUACGUAGGGUGCGAGCGUUGUCCGGAAUUACUGGGCGUAAAGAGCUCGUAGGUGGUUUGUCGCGUCGUCUGUGAAAUUCCGGGGCUUAACUCCGGGCGUGCAGGCGAUACGGGCUGACUUGAGUGCUGUAGGGGAGACUGGAAUUCCUGGUGUAGCGGUGAAAUGCGCAGAUAUCAGGAGGAACACCGAUGGCGAAGGCAGGUCUCUGGGCAGUAACUGACGCUGAGGAGCGAAAGCAUGGGUAGCGAACAGGAUUAGAUACCCUGGUAGUCCAUGCCGUAAACGGUGGGCGCUAGGUGUAGGGGGCUUCCACGUCUUCUGUGCCGUAGCUAACGCAUUAAGCGCCCCGCCUGGGGAGUACGGCCGCAAGGCUAAAACUCAAAGGAAUUGACGGGGGCCCGCACAAGCGGCGGAGCAUGUGGAUUAAUUCGAUGCAACGCGAAGAACCUUACCUGGGCUUGACAUAUACAAGACAGGCGUAGAGAUACGUCCUCCCUUGUGGUUUGUAUACAGGUGGUGCAUGGUUGUCGUCAGCUCGUGUCGUGAGAUGUUGGGUUAAGUCCCGCAACGAGCGCAACCCUUGUCUUAUGUUGCCAGCAUUUGGUUGGGGACUCAUGAGAGACUGCCGGGGUCAACUCGGAGGAAGGUGGGGAUGACGUCAAAUCAUCAUGCCCCUUAUGUCCAGGG
Molecule: ribosomal RNA, 721 nt
Filed under: Corynebacterium striatum
Lineage: Bacteria; Bacillati; Actinomycetota; Actinomycetes; Mycobacteriales; Corynebacteriaceae
Description: bacterial SSU rRNA
Rfam family: Bacterial small subunit ribosomal RNA
Source: RNAcentral